This 576-nucleotide ribosomal RNA is filed under the name uncultured bacterium. Its description in RNAcentral is "bacterial SSU rRNA". It matches the Rfam family "Bacterial small subunit ribosomal RNA", at positions 338 to 916 of the family's 1533-position model. The record is from RNAcentral.
CCUACGGGAGGCAGCAGUGAGGAAUAUUGGACAAUGGUCGGAAGACUGAUCCAGCCAUGCCGCGUGCAGGAUGAAGGUCCUAUGGAUUGUAAACUGCUUUUGUAAGGGAAGAAUAAGGAGUACGAGUACUUUGAUGACGGCACCUUACGAAUAAGCAUCGGCUAACUCCGUGCCAGCAGCCGCGGUAAUACGGAGGAUGCGAGCGUUAUCCGGAAUCAUUGGGUUUAAAGGGUCCGUAGGCGGGCUGAUAAGUCAGAGGUGAAAGCGCUUAGCUCAACUAAGCAACUGCCUUUGAAACUGUCAGUCUUGAAUGAUUGUGAAGUAGUUGGAAUGUGUAGUGUAGCGGUGAAAUGCUUAGAUAUUACACAGAACACCGAUAGCGAAGGCAUAUUACUAACAAUUUAUUGACGCUGAUGGACGAAAGCGUGGGGAGCGAACAGGAUUAGAUACCCUGGUAGUCCACGCUGUAAACGAUGGAUACUAGCUGUUUGGAGCAAUCUGAGUGGCUAAGCGAAAGUGAUAAGUAUCCCACCUGGGGAGUACGCACGCAAGUGUGAAACUCAAAGGAAUUGACGG